Rattus norvegicus (Norway rat) is the source of this 106-nucleotide small nuclear RNA. NCBI's taxonomy places the organism in Eukaryota, Metazoa, Chordata, Mammalia, Rodentia, Muridae. The record is from Ensembl.
GUGCUCGCUUCGGCAGCACACAUAUUCUAAAAUUGGAACGAUACGGGGAUUAGCACGGCCCCUGCGCAAGGGCGGCACGCAAAUUCGUGAGGCGUUCCAUACCUUU